This 2894-nucleotide ribosomal RNA is filed under the name Prevotella sp. P3-92. RNAcentral describes it as "bacterial LSU rRNA". It matches the Rfam family "Bacterial large subunit ribosomal RNA". Lineage: Bacteria; Pseudomonadati; Bacteroidota; Bacteroidia; Bacteroidales; Prevotellaceae. The record is from RNAcentral.
GAAAGUAAGUCAGGGCGCAUGGUGGAUGCCUUGGCUCACGGAGGCGAUGAAGGACGUGAUAAGCUGCGAUAAGCUGCGGGUAGGAGCAAAUAUCCCUUGAUCCGCGGAUUUCCGAAUGGGACAACCCAUCAGGCUGAAGGCCUGUUAUCCCUGCGUAGGCAGGGAGGCUAACCGAGGGAACUGAAACAUCUUAGUACCUCGAGGAAGAGAAAAUAACAAUGAUUCCCCCAGUAGUGGCGAGCGACCGGGGAAGAGCCCAAACCUGCUUUGUGGCAACGCAUGGCAGGGGUUGUAGGACCGCGCCGUGGUACUUGCAAUGUGAGAAGAAGUAUCUGGAAAGUUACAUCAUAGAAGGUGAUAAUCCUGUAUUCGAAACUACUGCGAGACCUAGCGGUAUCCUGAGUAACGCGGGACACGUGUAAUCCUGCGCGAAUCCGCCGGGCCCAUCCGGCAAGGCUAAAUACUCCCGUGAGACCGAUAGCGUACCAGUACCGUGAGGGAAAGGUGAAAAGUACCCCUAUAAGGGGAGUGAAAGAGUACCUGAAACCAUGCGCCUACAAGCGGUCGGAGCUGCUAUAAGCAGUGACGGCGUGCCUUUUGCAUAAUGAACCUACGAGUUACCGUCACAGGCGAGGUUAAGGAAGACGACUUCCCGAGCCGCAGUGAAAGCGAGGCUGAACAGGCCGUAUAGUCUGUGGAGGUAGACGCGAAACCGAGUGAUCUACACAUGUCCAGGAUGAAGUCCCGGUAACACGGGAUGGAGGUCCGCACCGAUAAGCGUUGAAAAGCUUCCGGAUGAGGUGUGUGUAGGAGUGAAAGGCCAAUCAAACUCGGAGAUAGCUCGUACUCCCCGAAAGGCAUUUAGGUGCCGCGUCACAUGAUCUGUAUGAGAGGUAGAGCGACCGAUAGGUCAAGAGGGCUUCACCGCCUAUCGCGACCUGACGAACUCCGAAUGCUCAUACACCGCAGUGUGGCAGUAAGGGGGCGGGUGCUAAGGUCCGUCCCCGAGAGGAGAAGAAUCCAGACCGCCGUCUAAGGUCCCCAAGUUCUGUCUGAGUUAGUCUAACGAAGUGUGGUCUCCGUGACAGCUAGGAUGUUGGCUUGGAAGCAGCCAUUCAUUCAAAGAGUGCGUAACAGCUCACUAGUCGAGAGACCGUGCAUGGAUAAUAAUCGGGUAUAAGACAGGCACCGAAGUCGCGGGAUAGUAAUGAUAAAAGUAUCGGUAGGGGAGCAUUCCUGCGGCGUUGAAUGUGACAGGACGACUGUCCCUGGAGCUUCAGGAAAAGCAAAUGUAGGUAUAAGUAACGAUUAGGGGUGUGAGAUCCACCCCCGCCGUACGACUAAGGUUUCCCGGGCAAUGUUAAUCAUCCCGGGGUAAGUCGGGUCCUAAGUCUAAGCCGAACGGCGAAGGCGAUGGCUGACACGGUCAAUAUUCCGUGACUUCCUUAUGGAGUGACGUGGAGACGCAGUCGUGACACUGCCGCGGGGAAACGGAAUUCCCCGUUAAAGGAUGUAGGCAUUGAGGGAGGCAGGCAAAUCCACCUCCCGAGCUGAACUCCGAGAGUACGGCACUCUCUCCGGAGAGCGCCGACAGCGCAGGUAAUCAUACUGCCGAGAAAAUCCGCUAAACUUAAUCCAUACGGAACCCGUACCGCAAACCGACACAGGUAGUCGGGUAGAACAUACUAAGGCGUUGAGAGAUUCACGGUUAAGGAACUAGGCAAACUGACCCCGUAACUUCGGGAUAAGGGGUCCUCCAGCAAUGGAGGCGCAGAGAAUAGGUCCAGGCAACUGUUUAGCAAAAACACAGGGCUGUGCAAACUCGCAAGAUGAGGUAUACAGCCUGACACCUGCCCGGUGCCGGAAGGUUAAGAGGAGAUGUCACCGCAAGGGAAGCAUUGAAUUGAAGCCCCGGUAAACGGCGGCCGUAACUAUAACGGUCCUAAGGUAGCGAAAUUCCUUGUCGGGUAAGUUCCGACCUGCACGAAUGGUGUAAUGAUCCGGACGCUGUCUCAACCGUGAGCUCAGUGAAAUUGUAGUAUCGGUGAAGAUGCCGAUUACCCGCGAUGGGACGAAAAGACCCCGUGAACCUUUACUACAGCUUAGCAUUGACCUUGGUCAUCGGAUGUGUAGGAUAGGCCGGAGGCAUUGAAUCAUGCGCGCCAGCGUGUGUGGAGCCAUCCUUGAAAUACGGCCCUUCUGCUGCCUGAGGUCUAACGCGCUUAGCGCGGACACUGCUUGGUGGGUAGUUUGACUGGGGUGGUCGCCUCCAAAAGCGUAACGGAGGCUUCCAAAGGUGCCCUCGGGCCGAUUGGUAACCGGCCUUAUAGAGUGCAAUGGCAUAAGGGCGCUUGACUGGGAGGCAGACAUGCCGAGCAGGCAGGAAACUGGGGCAUAGUGAUCCGGCGGAUCCGUAUGGAAGGUCCGUCGCUCAAAGGAUAAAAGGUACUCCGGGGAUAACAGGCUGAUCCCCCCCAAGAGCUCAUAUCGACGGGGUGGUUUGGCACCUCGAUGUCGGCUCGUCACAUCCUGGGGCUGGAGAAGGUCCCAAGGGUUGGGCUGUUCGCCCAUUAAAGUGGCACGCGAGCUGGGUUCAGAACGUCGUGAGACAGUUCGGUCUCUAUCUAUCGUGGGCGCAGGAGUCUUGAGGGGACCGGCCACUAGUACGAGAGGACCGUGGUUGACCGACCUCCGGUUUACCGGUUGUGCCGCCAGGUGCACCGCCGGGUAUCCGCGUCGGGUUCGGAUAAGCGCUGAAAGCAUCUAAGUGCGAAGCCGGCCUCAAGAUGAGGACUCCAUUGAGGGUCGUCGAAGACUACGACGUUGAUAGGGUGCAGGUGUAAAGACAGCGAUGUCAAAGCCGAGCACUACUAAUUGCCCGAAAACUUUUGUCU